ACGCGAAGAACCUUACCAAGGCUUGACAUAUACGAGAACGGGCUAGAAAUAGUCAACUCUUUGGACACUCGUAAACAGGUGGUGCAUGGUUGUCGUCAGCUCGUGUCGUGAGAUGUUGGGUUAAGUCCCGCAACGAGCGCAACCCUCGUUCUAUGUUGCCAGCACGUAAUGGUGGGAACUCAUAGGAGACUGCCGGGGUCAACUCGGAGGAAGGUGGGGAUGACGUCAAAUCAUCAUGCCCCUUAUGUCUUGGGCUUCACGCAUGCUACAAUGGCCGGUACAAAGGGCUGCAAUACCGUAAGGUGGAGCGAAUCCCAAAAAGCCGGUCUCAGUUCGGAUUGAGGUCUGCAACUCGACCUCAUGAA
RNAcentral lists this ribosomal RNA (365 nucleotides) under Leifsonia xyli subsp. xyli. RNAcentral describes it as "bacterial SSU rRNA". It matches the Rfam family "Bacterial small subunit ribosomal RNA", at positions 959 to 1324 of the family's 1533-position model. Lineage: Bacteria; Bacillati; Actinomycetota; Actinomycetes; Micrococcales; Microbacteriaceae. The record is from RNAcentral.